Molecule: ribosomal RNA, 301 nt
Filed under: uncultured bacterium
Lineage: Bacteria
Description: partial 16S ribosomal RNA
Rfam family: Bacterial small subunit ribosomal RNA
Source: RNAcentral
CAGCCGCCACGGUAAUACGGAGGGUGCAAGCGUUACUCGGAAUCACUGGGCGUAAGGGACGCGUAGGCGGAUUAUCAAGUCUCUUGUGAAAUCUAACGGCUUAACCGUUAAACUGCUUGGGAAACUGAUAAUCUAGAGUAAGGGAGAGGCAGAUGGAAUUCUUGGUGUAGGGGUAAAAUCCGUAGAUAUCAAGAAGAAUACCUAUUGCGAAGGCGAUCUGCUGGAACUUAACUGACGCUAAUGCGUGAAAGCGUGGGGAGCAAACAGGAUUAGAUACCCCCGUAGUCCCUGUCUCUUAUAC